AGCAGCCGCGGUAAUUCCAGCUCCAAUAGGCGUAUAUUAAAGUUGCUGCAGUUAAAAAGCUCGUAGUUGAAUUUCGGGAUCAAUUUAUUGGUCGUACCUUUUGGUACGUACUGAUUUUAUUGGUUUCUCCCUUCUGACGAACCAUGAUGUCAUUAAUUUGAUGUCUUGGGGAAUCAGGACUGUUACUUUGAAAAAUUAGAGUGUUUAAAGCAGGCUCACGCUUGAAUACAUUAGCAUGGAAUAAUGAAAUAGGACGUUUAAUUCUAUUUUGUUGGUUUCUAGGAUUGACGUAAUGAUUAAUAGGGAUAGUUGGGGGCAUUAGUAUUCAAUUGUCAGAGGUGAAAUUCUUGGAUUUAUUGAAGACUAACUACUGCGAAAGCAUUUGCCAAGGAUGU
Molecule: ribosomal RNA, 395 nt
Filed under: uncultured Glomeromycotina
Lineage: Eukaryota; Fungi; Glomeromycota
Description: SSU rRNA
Rfam family: Eukaryotic small subunit ribosomal RNA
Source: RNAcentral